ACGCUCGACACCUACGAGAGGCAGCAGUGAGGAAUAUUGGUCAAUGGACGCAAGUCUGAACCAGCCAUGCCGCGUGCAGGAUGACGGCUCUAUGAGUUGUAAACUGCUUUUGUACGAGGGUAAACGCAGAUACGUGUAUCUGUCUGAAAGUAUCGUACGAAUAAGGAUCGGCUAACUCCGUGCCAGCAGCCGUGGUAAUCUGAGCGGCUGGCAAGGC
Molecule: ribosomal RNA, 217 nt
Filed under: uncultured bacterium
Lineage: Bacteria
Description: partial 16S ribosomal RNA
Rfam family: Bacterial small subunit ribosomal RNA
Source: RNAcentral